This 478-nucleotide ribosomal RNA is filed under the name uncultured bacterium. RNAcentral's name for it is "partial 16S ribosomal RNA". It matches the Rfam family "Bacterial small subunit ribosomal RNA", at positions 29 to 523 of the family's 1533-position model. The record is from RNAcentral.
UACGAACGCUGGCGGCGUGCUUAACACAUGCAAGUCGAGCGAUGAAGUUCCUUCGGGAACGGAUUAGCGGCGGACGGGUGAGUAACACGUGGGUAACCUGCCUCAUAGAGGGGAAUAGCCUUUCGAAAGGAAGAUUAAUACCGCAUAAGAUUGUAGUAUCGCAUGAUACAGCAAUUAAAGGAGUAAUCCGCUAUGAGAUGGACCCGCGUCGAAUUAGCUAGUUGGUGAGGUAACGGCUCACCAAGGCGACGAUGCGUAGCCGACCUGAGAGGGUGAUCGGCCACAUUGGGAAUGAGACACGGCCCAGACUCCUACGGGAGGCAGCAGUGGGGAAUAUUGCACAAUGGGGGAAACCCUGAUGCAGCAACGCCGCGUGAGUGAUGACGGUCUUCGGAUUGUAAAGCUCUGUCUUCAGGGACGAUAAUGACGGUACCUGAGGAAGAAGCCACGGCUAACUACGUGCCAGCCGCCGCGGUAA